AUGCAGUCGAGGGGUAUAGUUCUUCGGAACUAGAGACCGGCGCACGGGUGCGUAACGCGUAUGCAAUCUACCUUUUGCAGAGGGAUAGCCCAGAGAAAUUUGGAUUAAUACCUCAUAGUAUAGUGAUACCGCAUGGUACUACUAUUAAAGUCACAACGGCAAAAGAUGAGCAUGCGUCCCAUUAGCUAGUUGGUAAGGUAACGGCUUACCAAGGCUACGAUGGGUAGGGGUCCUGAGAGGGAGAUCCCCCACACUGGUACUGAGACACGGACCAGACUCCUACGGGAGGCAGCAGUGAGGAAUAUUGGACAAUGGGCGCAAGCCUGAUCCAGCCAUGCCGCGUGCAGGAUGACGGUCCUAUGGAUUGUAAACUGCUUUUGCACAGGAAGAAACAACGCUACGUGUAGCGUCUUGACGGUACUGUGAGAAUAAGGAUCGGCUAACUCCGUGCCAGCAGCCGCGGUAAUACGGAGGAUCCAAGCGUUAUCCGGAAUCAUUGGGUUUAAAGGGUCCGUAGGCGGUUUAGUAAGUCAGUGGUGAAAGCCCAUCGCUCAACGGUGGAACGGCCAUUGAUACUGCUAGACUUGAAUUAUUAGGAAGUAACUAGAAUAUGUAGUGUAGCGGUGAAAUGCUUAGAGAUUACAUGGAAUACCAAUUGCGAAGGCAGGUUACUACUAAUGGAUUGACGCUGAUGGACGAAAGCGUGGGUAGCGAACAGGAUUAGAUACCCUGGUAGUCCACGCCGUANACGAUGGAUACUAGCUGUUGGGGGCAACUUCAGUGGCUAAGCGAAAGUGAUAAGUAUCCCACCUGGGGAGUACGUUCGCAAGAAUGAAACUCAAAGGAAUUGACGGGGGCCCGCACAAGCGGUGGAGCAUGUGGUUUAAUUCGAUGAUACGCGAGGAACCU
This 909-nucleotide ribosomal RNA is filed under the name uncultured bacterium. RNAcentral describes it as "bacterial SSU rRNA". It matches the Rfam family "Bacterial small subunit ribosomal RNA", at positions 55 to 971 of the family's 1533-position model. The record is from RNAcentral.